Long non-coding RNA from Beta vulgaris subsp. vulgaris (sugar beet), 249 nucleotides. RefSeq lists it as uncharacterized. The record is from RefSeq and is a predicted model, not a curated record. The transcript has 3 exons. NCBI's taxonomy places the organism in Eukaryota, Viridiplantae, Streptophyta, Magnoliopsida, Caryophyllales, Amaranthaceae.
CACAAAGUUCGUCGAGAGAAGCUUUUGUGGAAAUAUGUUGAGUGCCCGCAACAACAAGGAGGCACGGAGUGCGGUUAUUUUGUGAUGCGGUACAUUUUUGACGUACUCGCUUCAUAUUUUGGUUCGUUGGAUAUGGACAAAGUUGCUCAAACCUUUACCAAAGAUCCUUAUACGGAGGAUCAAAUCAAUGAGGUGAAGAAUAAGUGGGCAAGAUACUUUGUUGAUGAGUGCAUUGCAUAGGUUAGUUAG